This 379-nucleotide unclassified non-coding RNA is filed under the name uncultured bacterium. RNAcentral describes it as "contains 16S-23S intergenic spacer region". The record is from RNAcentral.
UCCGGCUUAUCACCGGCAGUUCCUUUAGAGUGCCCAACUAAAUGGUGGCAACUAAAGGCGAGGGUUGCGCUCGUUGCGGGACUUAACCCAGCAUCUCACGACACGAGCUGACGACAGCCAUGCAGCACCUGUGUGUAGGUCCCGUAAGGGGAGGAAUCCAUCUCUGGAAACCGUCCUACCAUGUCAAACGCUGGUAAGGUUCUGCGCGUUGCUUCGAAUUAAACAACAUGCUCCGCUGCUUGUGCGGGCCCCCGUCAAUUCCUUUGAGUUUUAGCCUUGCGGCCAUACUCCCCAGGCGGGGCACUUAAUGCGUUAGCGCCGGCACUCGGAGGGUCGCUCCCCCAAGCACCUAGUGCCCAUCGUUUACGGCGUGGACUAC